GAUGAACGCUGGCGGCGUGCCUAAUACAUGCAAGUCGAGCGAACGGACGAGAAGCUUGCUUCUCUGAUGUUAGCGGCGGACGGGUGAGUAACACGUGGAUAACCUACCUAUAAGACUGGGAUAACUUCGGGAAACCGGAGCUAAUACCGGAUAAUAUUUUGAACCGCAUGGUUCAAAAGUGAAAGACGGUCUUGCUGUCACUUAUAGAUGGAUCCGCGCUGCAUUAGCUAGUUGGUAAGGUAACGGCUUACCAAGGCAACGAUGCAUAGCCGACCUGAGAGGGUGAUCGGCCACACUGGAACUGAGACACGGUCCAGACUCCUACGGGAGGCAGCAGUAGGGAAUCUUCCGCAAUGGGCGAAAGCCUGAUGGAGCAACGCCGCGUGAGUGAUGAAGGUCUUCGGAUCGUAAAACUCUGUUAUUAGGGAAGAACAUAUGUGUAAGUAACUGUGCACAUCUUGACGGUACCUAAUCAGAAAGCCACGGCUAACUACGUGCCAGCAGCCGCGGUAAUACGUAGGUGGCAAGCGUUAUCCGGAAUUAUUGGGCGUAAAGCGCGCGUAGGCGGUUUUUUAAGUCUGAUGUGAAAGCCCACGGCUCAACCGUGGAGGGUCAUUGGAAACUGGAAAACUUGAGUGCAGAAGAGGAAAGUGGAAUUCCAUGUGUAGCGGUGAAAUGCGCAGAGAUAUGGAGGAACACCAGUGGCGAAGGCGACUUUCUGGUCUGUAACUGACGCUGAUGUGCGAAAGCGUGGGGAUCAAACAGGAUUAGAUACCCUGGUAGUCCACGCCGUAAACGAUGAGUGCUAAGUGUUAGGGGGUUUCCGCCCCUUAGUGCUGCAGCUAACGCAUUAAGCACUCCGCCUGGGGAGUACGACCGCAAGGUUGAAACUCAAAGGAAUUGACGGGGACCCGCACAAGCGGUGGAGCAUGUGGUUUAAUUCGAAGCAACGCGAAGAACCUUACCAAAUCUUGACAUCCUUUGACAACUCUAGAGAUAGAGCCUUCCCCUUCGGGGGACAAAGUGACAGGUGGUGCAUGGUUGUCGUCAGCUCGUGUCGUGAGAUGUUGGGUUAAGUCCCGCAACGAGCGCAACCCUUAAGCUUAGUUGCCAUCAUUAAGUUGGGCACUCUAAGUUGACUGCCGGUGACAAACCGGAGGAAGGUGGGGAUGACGUCAAAUCAUCAUGCCCCUUAUGAUUUGGGCUACACACGUGCUACAAUGGACAAUACAAAGGGCAGCGAAACCGCGAGGUCAAGCAAAUCCCAUAAAGUUGUUCUCAGUUCGGAUUGUAGUCUGCAACUCGACUACAUGAAGCUGGAAUCGCUAGUAAUCGUAGAUCAGCAUGCUACGGUGAAUACGUUCCCGGGUCU
Molecule: ribosomal RNA, 1372 nt
Filed under: uncultured bacterium
Lineage: Bacteria
Description: bacterial SSU rRNA
Rfam family: Bacterial small subunit ribosomal RNA
Source: RNAcentral